UCCACCAUCAGCAGGGCUUCAUUUCUGCCCUAGGCAGAGUUCAUCCAGCCCUGAGGAUGAGAAUCAUUAUGUUCCUUCACCACAAAUCAAUAGGGAUCACCUCCUACCUGACUGACAGCAAACACAAACUGCAAAUUUACAGCAAUGUCAAUAAAAGGUCAUUAUCUCUCAGGCUGACUGCCCAAGCCUGGCUCCCACACUGAAAGCUGCUGGAGUAAAUCUAAGGCUGUGAAUGAAUGAAUGAAAUAUUUAACUUGGAGCCCUGCAGGCUGAAUCCAGUAGGUAAUGGAUAAGGGCUACACUUGUAUUGACUGACUCGUUAACUCCKUGGGUUUGCUUACAUUCCAGAUUGUCUGCCUUUAAUGAGGACUGUCUGAAYUCUACGAAGCUUCUUUUGUUCAUGAAGAGUGCUUCUAGUGAGUAAUAUGUUGUCAGAAUUCAAGUUUGGGCUUGCCAACUUCUCUUCUUAGGAGUCACUACUCUUGUAAAAAGUUCCUUGAAAGAUGCACGGAUCCUCUCACAGGACAUGACAGAGCUCAGAGSGUUUGGCUCUGAGGUUUUUCACUGCAGCACCAUGUGAGUCCUUYGGGGAAAGCACAGGAUUUGUACAACAGGACACAUGCCAGGCUGGAAAUUCUGCUUCUAUUAGGACAUAAAUGUGAAAUGUCACCAAAACAAAACUAAUGKGAAGAUUUUUCCAAGAACACACUUCAAGGUUCUGGGGAAAUUUUUAUCUGCGUUAUCAUAUCCACUCAAAGCAAAAUUUGUAUUUAAACUGAGUCUGCUUGGCUGAAAGAUAAAAAUUGAAGGAGUUUAAGAGCCUUCUUGAAUGCUUCUUUUUUUUUC
Long non-coding RNA from Malurus melanocephalus (red-backed fairy wren), 846 nucleotides. RefSeq lists it as uncharacterized. The record is from RefSeq and is a predicted model, not a curated record. Lineage: Eukaryota; Metazoa; Chordata; Aves; Passeriformes; Maluridae. The transcript is spliced from 4 exons.